AGACCUGCAGGGUUAGAUCCUGGUUUGUAAAUGUAAAGGGCUGGAGAAUCGCUGAUCCCCCCCCACUCUGCCCCAGCCAGCGUCCCUUGUGGUCCGCAGGUGGGUGGUGCCUGGACACAGAGCACAGGGACCCCACAGCCACCACCUCUGGGGACACCCCAGGGUGGCCGUGCCGGGGCAGCACCUGGCCUUGCAGGGUUGACAGAUGCUCAGCCCUGGGAGCAAAGCCCCUGUGAAACCCCCAGCAGAGCCCUGGUCACACAUGGCUUCCCAGGGCUGGGAGUGACCUCUGCCUGGGCAGACGCCAGCCAUCUGGCUUUGUGCCUCUGCUCCCACAGGGCUCAAAUCUGGAAGAUUUGGGCAAGAAGCACACCUUCUGGGGGAGCGGAAACUGCAAAUCUGCCGAG
Long non-coding RNA from Oxyura jamaicensis (ruddy duck), 407 nucleotides. RefSeq lists it as uncharacterized. NCBI's taxonomy places the organism in Eukaryota, Metazoa, Chordata, Aves, Anseriformes, Anatidae. The transcript has 2 exons. The record is from RefSeq and is a predicted model, not a curated record.